Molecule: ribosomal RNA, 276 nt
Filed under: uncultured prokaryote
Description: partial 16S ribosomal RNA
Rfam family: Bacterial small subunit ribosomal RNA
Source: RNAcentral
UACGUAGGGGCAAGCGUUAUCCGGAAUUACUGGGCGUAAAGGGUGCGUAGGCGGUCUUUCAAGCCAGAAGUGAAAGGCUACGGCUCAACCGUAGUAAGCUUUUGGAACUGUAAGACUUGAGUGCAGGAGAGGAGAGUGGAAUUCCCGGUGUAGUGGUGAAAUGCGUAGAGAUCGGGAGGAACACCUGUGGCGAAGGCGGCCAGCUGGGAUACACCUGACGCUGAGGCACGAAGGCGUGGGGAGCGAACGGGAUUAGAUACCCGUGUAGUCCAUGAG